AUACGUAGGGGGCAAGCGUUGUCCGGAUUUAUUGGGCGUAAAGAGCGUGUAGGCGGCCAUGCAGGUCCGUUGUGAAAACUCGAGGCUCAACCUCGAGACGCCGAUGGAAACCGCAUGGCUAGAGUCCGGAGGAGGAGAGUGGAACUCCUGGUGUAGCGGUGAAAUGCGCAGAUAUCAGGAAGAACACCCGUGGCUAAGGCGGCUCUCUAGUACGGUACUGACGCUGAGACGCGAAAGCGUGGGGAGCGAACAGG
This 254-nucleotide ribosomal RNA is filed under the name uncultured prokaryote. RNAcentral's name for it is "partial 16S ribosomal RNA". It matches the Rfam family "Bacterial small subunit ribosomal RNA", at positions 523 to 776 of the family's 1533-position model. The record is from RNAcentral.